Molecule: ribosomal RNA, 847 nt
Filed under: Boeremia exigua var. exigua
Lineage: Eukaryota; Fungi; Ascomycota; Dothideomycetes; Pleosporales; Didymellaceae
Description: eukaryotic LSU rRNA
Rfam family: Eukaryotic small subunit ribosomal RNA (bases 1-188)
Source: RNAcentral
UACGUCCCUGCCCUUUGUACACACCGCCCGUCGCUACUACCGAUUGAAUGGCUCAGUGAGGCCUCCGGACUGGCUCGAAGAGGUUGGCAACGACCACUUCGAGCCGGAAAGUUCGUCAAACUCGGUCAUUUAGAGGAAGUAAAAGUCGUAACAAGGUUUCCGUAGGUGAACCUGCGGAAGGAUCAUUACCUAGAGUUGUAGGCUUUGCCUACCAUCUCUUACCCAUGUCUUUUGAGUACCUUCGUUUCCUCGGCGGGUCCGCCCGCCGAUUGGACAAACUUAAACCCUUUGUAAUUGAAAUCAGCGUCUGAAAAAACAUAAUAGUUACAACUUUCAACAACGGAUCUCUUGGUUCUGGCAUCGAUGAAGAACGCAGCGAAAUGCGAUAAGUAGUGUGAAUUGCAGAAUUCAGUGAAUCAUCGAAUCUUUGAACGCACAUUGCGCCCCUUGGUAUUCCAUGGGGCAUGCCUGUUCGAGCGUCAUUUGUACCUUCAAGCUCUGCUUGGUGUUGGGUGUUUGUCUCGCCUUUGCGUGUAGACUCGCCUUAAAACAAUUGGCAGCCGGCGUAUUGAUUUCGGAGCGCAGUACAUCUCGCGCUUUGCACUCAUAACGACGACGUCCAAAAAGUACUUUUUACACUCUUGACCUCGGAUCAGGUAGGGAUACCCGCUGAACUUAAGCAUAUCAAUAAGCGGAGGAAAAGAAACCAACAGGGAUUGCCCUAGUAACGGCGAGUGAAGCGGCAACAGCUCAAAUUUGAAAUCUGGCGUCUUUGGCGUCCGAGCUGUAAUUUGCAGAGGGCGCUUUGGCAUUGGCAGCGGUCCAAGUUCCUUGGAACAGGACGUCA